UACGUAGGAGGCAAGCGUUGUCCGGAAUUACUGGGCGUAAAGCGCGUGUAGGUGGUGGGACAAGUCUGCUGUGAAAGUCGGGGGGCUCAACCCUCGGAUGCCGGUGGAUACUGUCGGGCUUGAGUACGGAAGAGGCGAGUGGAAUUCCUGGUGUAGCGGUGAAAUGCGCAGAUAUCAGGAGGAACACCGGUGGCGAAGGCGGUGAGCUGGGCAGUUUCUGACACUGAGGCGCGACAGCGUGGGGGAGCAAACAGG
This 255-nucleotide ribosomal RNA is filed under the name uncultured bacterium. Its description in RNAcentral is "partial 16S ribosomal RNA". It matches the Rfam family "Bacterial small subunit ribosomal RNA", at positions 524 to 776 of the family's 1533-position model. The record is from RNAcentral.